GAUGAAGAACGUAGUGAAAUGCGAUAAGUAAUGUGAAUUGCAGAAUUCAGUGAAUCAUCGAAUCUUUGAACGCACAUUGCGCCCGCCAGUAUUCUGGCGGGCAUGCCUGUCCGAGCGUCAUUUCAACCAUCAAGCCCCGGGCUUGUGUUGGGGACCUGCGUCCGACGCAGGCCCUGAAAACCAGUGGCGGGCUCGCUGUCCACACCGAGCGUAGUAACUAACCUCGCUAUGGAGUGGCGCGGGCGCCUGCCGUAAAACCGCCAAUUUCACAAGGUUGACCUCGGAUCAGGUAGGAAUACCCGCUGAACUUAAGCAUAUCAAUAAGCGGAGGA
This 332-nucleotide unclassified non-coding RNA is filed under the name soil metagenome. RNAcentral describes it as "partial contains 5.8S ribosomal RNA, internal transcribed spacer 2, and large subunit ribosomal RNA". The stretch from base 1 to 120 matches the Rfam family "5.8S ribosomal RNA", at positions 35 to 154 of the family's 154-position model. The record is from RNAcentral.